UACGUAGGGGGCAAGCGUUGUCCGGAAUUAUUGGGCGUAAAGCGCGCGCAGGCGGUUCUUUAAGUCUGGUGUUUAAACCCGAGGCUCAACUUCGGGUCGCACUGGAAACUGGGGGACUUGAGUGCAGAAGAGGAGAGUGGAAUUCCACGUGUAGCGGUGAAAUGCGUAGAUAUGUGGAGGAACACCAGUGGCGAAGGCGACUCUCUGGGCUGUAACUGACGCUGAGGCGCGAAAGCGUGGGGAGCAAACAGG
Molecule: ribosomal RNA, 252 nt
Filed under: Paenibacillus lautus
Lineage: Bacteria; Bacillati; Bacillota; Bacilli; Caryophanales; Paenibacillaceae
Also listed under: 1 other name
Description: partial 16S ribosomal RNA
Rfam family: Bacterial small subunit ribosomal RNA
Source: RNAcentral